GGGCUGCUGAGUAGGACGGUGGAACAUCUGAUGGAAGAGGAACAGGAGGAGGAGCAGUUCUCAUCGCUGGUAACAAGAAAUCUUCGUCUAUUAUCAGUACUUUGUAUGUACUGACUGUGGCGUGCUCUUUGGGAACAGUUUUUGCGUUCAGGAUAAGUACAGGUGCAUGGUACCUUAUUUAGUUUUUUUCUUUCUUUCUUUGCUGCUACCACUGCAGUAUGAUUUUCUGUUUGAAGAUAGCAGAUUGCUUUCAUCUCUUCAUUGAGUACUCUGUCUUUUCGAACAGUCCAAGCAUUUCUCUCUGCCCCACCCAUUCUUUUUGAGAUAUGUCUAUUAACUCGUUAAGCGACAUUGUCCUAGUACCGAAUGAUUUCUGCACUGCAUCCGAGUGUUUUUUUUUUGCCUCUCGAUAUCUUGCUUGGUCUUUUGCUUCAGAGAAAAGGGACACGCACCAGCAUUUCUUGACCCUUUCAUCUUGCCGAACUUGCUUCCUAAAUCGCCUGUGGUUCUUACAUCGUCAUGCUAUAGAAUAAGAUCCUGAUUAGUGAGUUACGAUGAUAAUAUUUGUAAAUCCAUCAUUUAUGGUUCCAGCAUCAAAUUUUGAUGCUGGGAGGGACAGUUCGCGCUGUUGAGUUUUGAGCAAUCAUCUACCUUGGUGGCUUGGCCCCAGGAAUACAACCAGCUAACUUUUCCGUUUUCUGAUUACUGGAUCUUAGUCCCUAAGCCGCUUCAGCGGUUCCCCUUUGUGAUUGGAAGGCCAGCUGUUCUCUUUCUUGUUCUGCGGAUCUGAUUCUAUGGUCUCUAAAUUCUCGCAUUUUUGUUCUGUAGGCGUGUGUGUGCAAGUAAGCAAUUACCUAACUUUGUUUAGGCUCUAUUCGUUUAGUCCGGAUUGGAGGCCGGAACCAUUCCAACUCAUCAAGCUAAUAUAAAUUUGUGAACUAUUUCAAUCCAGAACCAAUCCAGUAAAGUAUUCCGGAAGAACCGAACGGACACUUAGGCGUUGUACAUUUGUACUCGCAAAUAUGAGAAAAGAAAAGGAGAAAUUGGAGUUCUUAUUUGUGCCCAAUCACCAGUAACUUUAUUAACUUGAAUUUGCAUUCAUCAUCUAUGCAAUUGUGGAAUCCAUUUCACCUUCUUAUGCUAGAACUAGUCUAUGCUUCAAGUAAAUCCUUGAAGAGUUCUUUAUAUCCUUCAGCAAGAAAAUUGCAUACUUCCAGGCUCCAGCAAGUAAACCGAGUACUUGAUGGGCCCGUUUGAUUGUCUAGUAAUUAACCUUAUCCUGGGCUGGCCCAUACAUACAGUGCGUGGCAUUAGCAUCUGAUCCUUGGGUUCGUCGCUAGGUCUUCAGUUUGCAGCACCAACUCCAAUCGAUCUUCACUCUUCACCCAGAACACUCUUUAUUCUGACCUCUGGAUGUGAUCCAGCUGGUGCAUGGUUGUUAGUAGUACUAGUACCGGCAAUUCUGUUCCACGACUGGAUUUCCGCUUUUGCCCUUGCGUUUGCCUACUUCACCAGGCUUACUUAGCCUUUUCACUUUGGACAAUCUUUAUGUAAGGCUGCAAGGGUUAAGUUGUUCCUUGUUGAGCCUUGCAAGGAAUUGACCGUGUCCAGCUCUCCAUCUACUCCACCCUUUAAAAGUAAAGAUGGUUCAGUUGGCAGACCUGGCAAGUUAGAAGGUCACCACUAGUCAUUCCCAAAAAUGAUCGCCACAUCGCACUGAGUCCAGGUACCAGAGCAGGAUGAUGUAUUCCCCUCCACGCACCGAUCCUGACAGAGAGGAUGAGCAGUGCUUCGCAAUUGGAGCUAACCUGCUUUCUUCACUAGAUCAUACUAUGAAGUUUGAUGAGCCUAUCGCCUUUCCAAUGAACAAUGUAGGCAUGCAAGAGAGGGUUCAGCUCUACAAUUCUACUGGAGAUGCUCAACUAAGUAGAAAUGCGAACACAGGGAAGUGUUCAAAGGGUGGCAAAAGGAAGAGUUCUGGAGGGAUCAAUUCAUCACUGCAUUCUCUAGUAAGGAAGCUAGAAGCUACCGUUGCUUUGUUUCACCGGCUGCACCAUACCUCACUCCCUCUGUUUCAUCCUACUGUACAUAUAAAUGUAUUACUGCAGGACGAAGCCAGGGCAUUGUUGCAGCGAGAAGUCAGCAUGGAGUGUGCUGAUGAGAACGCUGCUGGAGCCAAGAGAGAGGACUACGCGCAUGUCCGGGCAAAGCGAGGCCAAGCCACCAACAGCCACAGCCUUGCAGAAAGAUUUCGAAGGGAAAAGAUAAAUGUAAGGAUGAAGCUUCUUCAGGACCUUGUCCCGGGUUGCAACAAGAUUACAGGCAAGGCCAUGAUGCUUGACGAGAUCAUAAACUAUGUGCAAUCUCUGCAGCGUCAGGUUGAGUUCCUUUCGAUGAAGCUCUCAGCGAUCAGACCAGGGUUCAACCGUGACCUCGAACUGCAAGAUGUAAGAUUGCGAGAUCCUUUGCACACAAGAUGCCAGCUCCGGUUUUCUCGGAUACAGCCUGCGAGCGAGCGAUGUGCAUCUUAAUCUGUAUAUAGCAUCUGAAGAAUGUUUCUCGCACAGGAUCAUCCCUAAUCCUGCAAAUGUUCAUGUGACAAGAAACGGCCAGCAAUCUGCAUUUCCUCAGAGAGGAGUUAUCUGGAACGAGGAACUUCGCAGCAUCGCUCCAAAUGCUUUCGCUUCAGAUACCGUUGCUGGUUCAAUGGAAGUGGAGUGACGAGUCGGCAGUUUAAUGGUAAAUCUUGACAGGUUUAUGGCUAAAUGUGCCACACUUUGCCUAAAGUUAAGGCCUGUUUGGUUUGUGACUAAAUGUGCCACACUUUGACUAAGGUUAGUCGUUCGAAUUGAAUAACUAAACUUAGGCAGAAAAGUUAGGCAAAGCGUGGCAACUGAAGUAGUGAAUCAAACAUGUCAUUAGUCAUCCAAAUUGAAUAACUAACCUUAGGCAAAAAAGUUAGGCAAAGUGUGGCAAUUGAGGUAAGGAACCAAAUAUGCCCUAGUCUGUUGGGUUGCUACUGGUCAACUGGUGUGCCUUUGUAAGUUGCAUUGGUGGCGCGGAUGAGCUAGUCAACUUUGGUCUUUGGUGCCCACACACCAUGUACAGUUAUAAUAACUAAUCAAAGGAGCAGAGCACGGUGAUUUUUUUCUCUUCUUUUUUGGGCGAACUUAUGGACAAAAUAAUGUGCAAUGAUCGUCUGGAAUUUACUAA
RNA transcript from Zea mays, 3213 nucleotides. It is a transcript of the gene named transcription factor bHLH74, with no coding region annotated. Lineage: Eukaryota; Viridiplantae; Streptophyta; Magnoliopsida; Poales; Poaceae. The transcript has 9 exons. The record is from RefSeq and is a predicted model, not a curated record.